GCMACGUGAMYWACCRAGGAUAGGAYKUUCCCCUUCGGGRGACAGAGUGACAGGUGGUGCAUGGKUGUCGUCAGUGGGGCGUGAGAUGUKGGGUUAAGUCCCGCAACGAGCGCAACUAAGAUCUUAGUUGCCAGCAUUCAGUUGGGCACUCUAAGGUGACUGCCGGUGACAAACCGGAGGAAGGKGGGGAUGACGUCAAAUCAUCAUGCCCCUUAUGACCUGGGCUACACACGUGCUACAAUGGAUGGUACAAAGGGCUGCAAAACCGCAAGGUCUAGCCAAUCCCAUAAAACCAUUCUCAGUUCGGAUUGUAGGCUGCAACUCGCCUACAUGAAGCCGGAAUCGCUAGUAAUCGCGGAUCARCWUGCCGCGGUGAAUACGUUCCCGGGUCUUGUACACACCGA
RNAcentral lists this ribosomal RNA (404 nucleotides) under Bacillus sp. 37(2012). RNAcentral describes it as "partial 16S ribosomal RNA". It matches the Rfam family "Bacterial small subunit ribosomal RNA", at positions 987 to 1393 of the family's 1533-position model. Lineage: Bacteria; Bacillati; Bacillota; Bacilli; Caryophanales; Bacillaceae. The record is from RNAcentral.